RNAcentral lists this ribosomal RNA (160 nucleotides) under uncultured bacterium. RNAcentral describes it as "partial 16S ribosomal RNA". It matches the Rfam family "Bacterial small subunit ribosomal RNA", at positions 355 to 509 of the family's 1533-position model. The record is from RNAcentral.
UGGGGAAUUUUGGACAAUGGGCGCAAGCCUGAUCCAGCCAUGCCGCGUGAGUGAAGAAGGCCUGGGUUGUAAAGCUCUUUCGGCCGGGAAGAAAUCGUGGUCUCUAACAUAGGCCAUGGAUGACGGUACCGGACUAAGAAGCACCGGCUAACUACGUGCC